UACGGAGGGUGCAAGCGUUAAUCGGAAUUACUGGGCGUAAAGCGCACGUAGGUGGUUUUGUAAGUCGGAUGUGAAAGCCCUGGGCUUAACCUGGGAAUUGCAUUCGAUACUGCUUGACUAGAGUAUGGUAGAGGGAAGUGGAAUUUCCGGUGUAGCGGUGAAAUGCGUAGAUAUCGGAAGGAACACCAGUGGCGAAGGCGACUUCCUGGGCCAAUACUGACACUGAGGUGCGAAAGCGUGGGUAGCAAACAGG
Molecule: ribosomal RNA, 253 nt
Filed under: uncultured bacterium
Lineage: Bacteria
Description: partial 16S ribosomal RNA
Rfam family: Bacterial small subunit ribosomal RNA
Source: RNAcentral